Molecule: long non-coding RNA, 9446 nt
Filed under: Gallus gallus (chicken)
Lineage: Eukaryota; Metazoa; Chordata; Aves; Galliformes; Phasianidae
Description: lncRNA (ENSGALG00010030068.1)
Source: RNAcentral
CAAACAUCCUGCAGAAUCCUCCAGCAUUUCUCAACAGCCUUCCCUGCUCUCUUCCCCCCUGCCAGGUUGUGAGUACAACUCCAACAGCCCCCGGAUCCUUGGAGAGCUGCCCACAGAAGGCAGAGGUUCGUGUGCCUUUCUUCCUGAAUUAACCACCAACACGUGUGUCACUGCUUUGCUGUUGACCCCACGCCUUUGCUGUUGCAUAAAGGUAGGUCUGCCUUCAGCCAGCUCUCUUCCUGCACAUUCCAAGUGCUCUCCUUUCUCCCCUCAGCUGUCAUCUCGAGCAGCCUGGCUGCUGAAGGCAGUGGGUGGGCGAGCACACACCACAGGAGAUGGCUGAUCUCCCGUAGCACUUCUGCUCAGGGAUGUGCUCUGCCAUGCCAGCAUUCUCCUCCACCUCUCCCCACUGCACGAGGGGCACAAAGCACCGCUUCAUCUGGGGGCUGAGGAGGAGCUGUGGGGAGAGUAGCAGGGCAGGGACUGGCACUCCUGGGUGCCUCUGUAGAUAUGGGGUGACCCUUCUCCUGGGAGAGGCUUUGAAGUGGAUGUCUGGGACAUUGAGGGGCGGUGACAACUCAAACACAGCACCUGAUUUCCCAGAAGUUGUGUGUGUGGUGCUGCUGACUUGGAGCAGCUGGCAAGAAAGUAAAAACAGUCCGUCCCCCCCCCCCCCCCCCCAUCAUUAUUUAAACAGUAUAAAGUUCUCUGUAAAUGUUUAAAACAACAACAGGAUUGGGAGGGGAAGGAGGAAAGACAAACAAGUUUGCUGUUGGAGCUUUGCAGAAACAGAUCUUAAUUUUUUGGCAGGGUUCUCCUUGCCCAGAAGAUCCAGCUGCCAGCACACUUCAGGAGGCUCCAAAUUCAUUAUCGCUUCUCUAACAUCUCCCUCCAACAGGCUGCAGUUUAGCACGGGCAGUGCCUUUGAUGUCGGGGCUUGGCCAGCACCUCGUGCUGUAGGAUCCCAGUUCAUCUCUGGGGCAUCUCUGCUUGGGAUCGAUGGUGUGAGUGCUCCCAGAGAUGCUUUUCUUUCCCGGCCCUGAGGUUCGUGGUUGGUGAAACUCAGCAGGAGCUGGGGAGCUCAGUGGAGUGUUGUGCCUGCAUGGGAGUGGGGCAGGAACCAGGGGCAGGAUGUGGGGGCUCCUAGUUUCCAGCCCAUUGCCUCUCCUUUCUCUUCUACAUCAGUAGCACUGCCAGCACCUGAUGCAUUAACACAGCAGAAACCCUAGAUAACCUCUGAAUACACAGCUGGUAAAGUGACUUUCAUUCAGCUUCUCACAGUUGAAGGGUGGGAGCAGAAUCCUGGCUGGGCUCCAGGCUGAGGGGGGACUUGGUGGGGAUCUGAAGCCCUGGGUACUGAGGGUUUGCUGGAGACCAGUGGCUGCUCUCCAGAUCCCAAGCCCUGGAGCAUCUGCCCCCAUGGGGAUCCUGGGGAAAGGGGCCAUUCUUCUUAGCAUGGGGUAGACCUUGGGCUGAGAAAAAGAGGUUGUGUCCUUGGUGGGGGGACCUAUGAGAACCGGGUCCUCAGAGAGCAGAGCAGGACAGUGUUCCCCAACAACCUGAUGUCUCAGCUCAGCCUCCAUCAGGGCUCAUUGCUGCCUGGUCCCACGUGCUCUGCUCCUGCCCAAUCCUGCUCAGACCCUGCAGUGUAUAUACCACCCCAGCACCCAGAGCUGGGUGUCACUGCUGGUCCUUGGCUGGCAUAGCCUGUGUGGCUAUAGAAAUAGGCUGUGUUUGCUUCCUAAUAUGUAUUCCUGCUUCAACUGCUUGGUCUGGUGCUGAGCUACAGCAGGAAGAUCUUGUUGCAGAGAGGCCCCGCUGCCCCUGGGGGGGGUUCAGGAGCUGACCUUGCCGCUGUCACUCCUUUACCUAUGUGCAGGUCCUGCAAUGAGGGUGCCCACGGCGUUUCCUUGAGCUGCUGACCCCAGGCUGCUGUUGGUGCCCUGUCCUCCCUCCCCAUGUUCCUCCUCCAGGCAGCUCAGCACCACCCCAGGCAGCACUGGCUAAGCUCCCACAGGGGUCUCCUUUACUCUUCCAACUUCAGCCAGCCCUGUGCAGAACCUCCACUGAGAUUAAAGAGCGAUGCAGUGUGAAACCUUCCUCCUCUUCAGCAGAUGGUGUUUGCGGCAGUGGACGUUUCCUGUGCUGUUGUAACAGAACGGCCUGGUCUAGCCAGGAAGCAGAAGUGGAAGAUGCAGUCUGGUCUUGCUGAGGCUGCCUUGCUUUGCAGACCUGACCUGAGAUCCUGGAUCACAAAUGAUCUCUUGCUUUCUCAAGUAUCGGAUGUUUGUUUUUUUUUUCCCCCUUUUUUUCCUCCAUGUUCAACCCAUGAGCUGAAGAGCUGCCAUGCCUUGCUGCAGCCAGCAGCUUCUGUCACUGCAGCACUCACAGCAGCCUCCUGGGGCUCGGUGCCCGCAGAUGUGCUGUGUGAUGCAAUGUGAACUUCACAUCACCUUCACGGAAAGACUGAAACGCAUCUAAACUGGAGCUCACCCGGUGUCACUGCCUUAGGCUGAACAGAGCACUGCUACAUCUGUCCUAGCUGUGAACUUCCAGCCUGAAAAGCCUCACGGGUGGUGAAAUGGUGCCCUGACUGAGUGAGCUGUGGUGGGAGCUUUCAGCUGGUAUUGCUUCUGCACACCAAGAAGGGGCAGCUGCACAUCCAUCAGGCUUAGUGCUGUCAGACCAGGUUGAGAUUGCUGAGUGCUGCAGUGGAUGCAUUUGAGACAAAUCUCAGGUGAGGGAGAGAGGAAAUGCAUAUGGCCUCACUGCCUCCCUGGAGCCAGCACUGUGACUGCUCCCUGGAGAGCAGCUCCCUGACUGCAUCAGCUCCCCGAGCAGCUCUGCUCCUUCUCCUCCCAGCAGCCAGAAACUGCCUACGUCAGCUUUUACCUUCCGAUGGAAACCGGCUGAGCAACAGCAAUGGGGAGCGACCCAUGGGCACUACGUGCUGCUGCAAGCUCUGUCCCACACCCGGGCAAGCCUGGGGUAUGAACCUCUGUGCUUCAGGAGCUGCAUUCCCCUGCCAGCUCUGCAAGCCACCUGGUGCCAAAGGAUUGCAUCCGCGUGAUAAAUCCCAUUGCUGUUCUGCUCAGGAAGUAAUCUGGUGAACCAGGAAAGAGAACGUUGCUUGCUACCAGCCUUCUUUCCAAGCAAUUGCACAACACUGCUCCGGGGUUAGCAAACUGCAGACAUCUGGGAGCAAUCGAUGCUGUUUAGGCUCUGAGAAAGCACAAGAGAAAGUUAGAAGGAAGCAACUUGAAAGCUCAGCAUUGUUAAAAGCAGUCUGGAAACCCUGGAAAUCCACAAGAGGGUAAUGCCUACAAACAGCCCGGAGGCAGAAGGAAUGAGAAGGACGACGGGAACAGCAGCCUCCACAGGAGCCUUGGAAAUGGUUAAAGAUGUGGGGAGCCACAUCUUCUGUGACAACCUGCCCCCCCCCCAGCACCCCCAUAAAUGAGAAACCUCAUCAGCCUCGCGCUAUUAGUGCUACGCAGCAUUAAAGUCUCUCAUUUGGGAUAAACAUUCUCAUCUCCAGCAGAGCAUGAAUAACAUUAAAUGAGAUAGUUAAAAUGUUUCAGGCCAAUUAUAGCCCCGGUGUAAGUUGGGCAGAGUUGCACCAGGGAUUAAUUUGAUGCGGAGAGCUCUGCCUCCUGUUCCGAGCCGGGAUUCCAGUGCGGGUAAUUACAUCCUGCCUCUGCGCUUCCUCUGCAGUUUUAAUUGGGUUGAAUGGACCAAAUCCGCAGCAAGUGUAAAUCUAUGUAAUUGAGCUCUCUCUGGAGAGGAACCCUGCUGCUUUACACCCUCCAAUCUGGGCCAGCGCUCUUCCCUUCCUCCCUGCCGGGCUCCAGCUGCCCAAAGCUGGCUGCCACCCCACGAAGGGCUCCCAUUCUGCCCUUGGAUGAAAGUCAAUGCUUUCCCAAGCUGCCUUGGACAGCCCGGAGCCCAACCCCUGCAUUGGUGCAGGUGAGGCCCGCAGGGUCCCCGUCUGCUUUUGCGUGCGCUGUGCCUUCUGCUGGGAAACAGCCCCGUUAAGCGGCCUCCUCCCCAUCGCCUGUCCGUGUCCCAUCCCAGAUCCAGGCUCCAGCACACAGAGCAGGCAGCUGGACCGUCUCCCUCUCCCACUUCCCAACCCGCUGAGUAAAUCAGCAGUAAUGAGGGACAUUUGACCCUCUCUUUCCCCGAACAGCCUCGAGAAGCAUUUUUCUUCCAUGAGGUACUUAAGAAGCUUGAAGUGCUUUCCUCCUCCUGCUUCUAUUGUAGCUUUGCUUUCCUUGAUUUUGUUUGCUUGUUUGUUUUUCUCUCCUAGGAAAGGACAAGAUAUGGGACGCAAGGAACCUUCAGGAUGCCUUGGGAAUGGAGGGGAUGCAGCCAGUUUGGGUCCUGUCUCUUUUGGUCCAGCAGAAAACCGUGUGUGCGAUCAGAGCUGGGAAAGUGCUCCUGCUGGCUGUAAUUAGGGAUGUCAUUGCAAAGCAUUAUCUCACAGAGCUGGAGCCUAUACAGAGCCAUACGUCCUCCGUAGCCAAUUGUGCACGGAGGUGAUGGGAGAGGGAAGGGUGCUGGGAACGCUCUCCCUCACUCAUUUCCAGGACGUUCUGCUGCUGUGUGGUCCCUUUCCCUUCUCACAGAGCAAUGAUGAAAGCAGACAGCCAGCGAGACCCCGGGGAGCCGCGCAGUGCAGCCCAUGGCUUCUCUUCCAGCCAAGGCUGUGUGGAGCUGCGGGUCCUCACCCCCAGCUGGGCUCAGCCCACUCCUCCAUUUCCCGUUCGCUUUCUCCCAGAGCAUAUUUUCGGGACGUGGAGAUGUCCCAACCCUCCCUUCCUCCCCAGCGGUAGCGCAUCUCGGAGGGGCCACGAGGGCCGUCGCUGCCGGUCCUGCUCUUCUCGUAAAGCACAGCGAGCUUCUGGCCAGCAGCAGCCAUGCAAUUUCAGAGAUUGAGCAAAUUCCCCCUCCCACCCACUGAGGACCUCCCGGGACCGGCGCACAUCCCACCACAGGCAGCAGCCACCUCGGCCAGCCGCCCAUUGCUGCAACGGCUUGAGUCAAUUGAGACCAUUUCUCAUGCAACCCAUCCAUACCGGAGGUCCCCAGGAGGAGGGUUGGCUCAGGAAAACCUUCAGCCCCAAACCCAGCACUCCCCCAUGCAGCUGACGGAGCACAGCUCACAGCGCAGUGACCCGAAGCGCCGCGCCGUCUGUGCCACGUCCAGCUGGCCCUUCCGCUUUGCUGGCGUGCUCCUUCCUGCUUUUAUUUUGGCUCUUUUUUGUGUGGGUUUUUUUCUUUUUUUUGGCUACGUAUGCGUGCAAGUCCAGAUGGGAGGAAAGGUCAGACUUGCUGAUGGUAAGGCCCAGGCUGAAAUCUGGGUUUGCCCUAAACCCGGGAUGGCUGUGGCUGGAUGAGCCCUGCUGGUGGGCUCAGCCAUCUGCCAGGAGAGCUGCGCCGGGCUCUGCGCUCACACGUUGGGGCUGUUGGAGCUCUGGCUCAUCUCCAUCCCGGUUCUGUCCUUGCCCACAUGCAGCUCCGCUCAUCACUGCCCACCCAAACACGCUCGGCCUCCUCUCGCUCAGCUCCUGACCUUUAUUCUCCCUUAAAUCAAUACGCAGAGCCGUGCUGCAGCAGUACCAGCACCUCCGGGGAGCCCAGGUGAUGUAUAGCAUCCAAGGAGCUGCUUCUGCUUUUGAGGCUCCCAUCCAGAUAAGCUUUUGUCUUUCCAAUCUGUCCUGUGCUGCGUGGGCCCUGCGUUCAUCCCCUCUGCUCCUGGCACUAUUGACUCCACAUUUGCUUUCAUUCUGCUGUAAAAUGAAGGCAGCUCCAGCUACAGCAGCGGUUUUAUUCUUCCUGAAUAUAAUGCCUUUAUGAAAAUAAAAUCAAAAGUGAGUUGGGACCGGAAAGGUUUAAUUAAAAAGCUUCAGGGGGGAAUAAGAAAUCUGUUAGGAAACCUCUGCGGACGUUCAGCAAGUUCUCCCUGCAGAGAAGCAGCCUGAAGGGAGCUGCAGUGUCUGCCUGUGCCCUGCUGGUGGGAAGGGAUGAGAGGUGCAGUGAAGCUGGGAGCAGCCCAGGUCAGGUGCUUGCCUUUCCCACUGCUGCACCAAAAGCAGCCAUAACCACAAAGACCCCACCUCCUAUUCCCUCAUACCCCUCGGGGAAAGGAUAGGAACUGCUUUCUUGGCCAGGCUGAAGCUGACAUCCGCCAGUCCCAAUGCCUGAUCAAUGCAAACCAAUGGACUUUUCCCAUCAGAACACGUCCUUUUUUUUCCAGCAGGAUGCCGAGUUCUCAGACAAAUGAAGGCUCCGUUUGGCAGCGGAUAGAAAACAGGAAUAUUUGUCUUUAUUCCGAGACUGAAUUUUUGUGGCUAAGCUGCACCAAAAAUACAUCUUCCCCCCCCACCUCUCCCAGACAUGAGACACCAUUGAAUGCUGAAAGCAACUCUUCCCUGCCACAAAUGGACCAAAUAAACCCAGCACGAGACCGGUGCUUAGCAGAAACCAGAUGCGCCUCUAAUGCUGUCGUCUACAGCAAGCUGCGUCUGCAAACUGAUCUUUUAUUAAUGUGUGUGCACGGGUGGGAGAGCUGGGAGAGUCCCAGCGCCGGGAGCACAACGUGCCAUCGCCCCGUGCCCAUGGGCUGCCUUAUGGCUCCCAAAGGGCAUCGCUGCGGGGUUACCCAAAGCCCCUCCGGACCCAGCAUUCGGGAUUUGCAGCAUUUGGCCUCGGUUUACCCCGAGCUGCACCAUGGAGGUGGGUUUUGGAGGGGUUCUCGGCGUGUUCUGUGGCUGCAGGAGGAGAAGGAGCUGUUAGUUGGUGCUGGCAGCUGAGAUGGGUGAGGUGAUCCAGGACGCUCCCCCCAUCCGCGUGGCUGGAUGUGCCCUCACCUGGGAGCUGGGCAGCUGUUGGAAGCACCAGAAAGGGCUUUCCCCCCCCCUGGUCUGCCCAGUUCAGGCUCUGUGUCUCUAUUUCCACGCACCUCAGGAGCAGCCACUUUCCAGAGCUCACGCAGCCUCACCAGUAGGCAAAGAGACCUGUAAAUCCUGGGAGAAAUAUGGAGAAACCACCAUUAAACAGCAGGCAGAGUCUGCGAGAGGUGUGGCAGGGCAGAGAAGCAACAAAACAGGCUUUUUCUCCCCAAUUCCCCCUCAUUUCCACACUUUCCCCAGAGGCCCUUCCAACCCAAGCUGUUCCAUGACUCUCUCUCGUGUCAUCCAUCCCACCUGGUCUGGCUCUGCAGCAGCGUUAGGUGGCGCGAGGCUCAGAGCCUUCCUCCCUCCUGGACUCCUCUUCCUCUCCCUCGGGGUGCCUGAGGAUGGAAAACAUGGGCUGAGCCUGGACCGGGCUACACUGGGAGCAUCUGAACCCAUUUGGCUUUCCAAAUGGAAGGUGCUAACUUCCACAGCAUGGCAAUGAAGGAGCUGCGCCCUCACCAUCACCCAAACCCACCUUUUCUCCAUGUUUUCCCCAUAUUUUCCCCAAGUUUUCCCCAUGUUUUCCCCAUGUUUUCCCCCAGCUCUGCUCAGCUGAAGCCCCACGAGGCUCUGCUGCAGCACAGUUUGGCCUGGAAUAUGCUGAUUUUAGCCAACACAUCUUUUUUUUUUUUUUUUCCUUUCUUUCUUUUUUCUUCUUUUUUUUUGCCAGGAAAUAAAUAAAUCAUACAAUUCCUCAUCGCUUCCUUCCAGCAUCCCUCCCUUUAUCACGGCGCGUCCUUCCCUCGGGCUUUGGAAUUGGGUCAGUGAGCAGAACCCGGCGGCAGCGGCUGCUUCCCAGCGAUGUUCAUAGAAAGCUGCUGCAGCCCCCGAGUGCUUUGGGGUGGAGGAUUCACCUUUUGGGUCCCAUCCCAUUGGUGGGAGCCGGGGCAGAGCAGGGAGCAGUGUGACGCCGUGAUUUGCACUGCUGCUCCACUUCCGCGUGGUCACCCGGUGGUGAGCAGUGGGAUCAAGGGGGAUUUGCGCCUUGGGGACCUAACAUUGGCCGCCCCCUCCAAGGUUGGGCUACCCAAACCAGCAGAGAGCCCGGAGCAGGGCUGAACCCUCCCCCACCCCAUGCACCCCAUGGCUCCUCCAGCUGUGAUGCGUCUCCUUCCCAUUGCAAGAACUGGGGGUCACUUCCAGUACCUCACUCAAAAACCAGAGGAGAAGGCUGGGACUUGCUCUGAGUCACUGGCAUGUUGUUACCAAGGACACUAAGGUUCCCAGUUUUGAAGAAGAGAUUAAUUACCCUCUGCAAAUAGACAUUUUAUCUGCAUUAAAGAGCAGCAAGAGCUGAUUCUUUUGGCGUAGCUCAUUAUGUAGCAGCAGGUAGUAUUGUGACAGAUGUAGGAAUCCAGUGGCAUUGUCACUUGGGUUUAAUCAUCAGAAAGCUGUCUUCCCAGGUCAGCUCUGAGUGAGGAUUUGUAAUAUUUACAUAGCACUUGGGCUGCCUUCUUGCUGCCGGAGUCUGCAUUCACUCGUCAGCCUCUCAUUAUGCAUGUGCCAGUAUUAAUUGCAUUUAGAAAUGAGAUUCUAAAGGAGAAGUGAGAGCUAUUUAGACCUCCAUUCAGCUUGAAAGACAGCAGCUUUCAGUGUGACAGCUCUCGAGAUGCUCUCGCGCUCGGCUCUCUCCCCAGCUGAAAGCAGGUGUUGGAGAGAGUUGUGUCGGAGCCUCUGUACCAGCACUGCCUUUUGUGCAUGCCCAGACAUUUAUAUAACAGGCGGUAUAAUGACUCCGCAGAAGUGGCAGAGAAUUGACCCUUGUGGGUCUGGAUUAAAGCACAGAGAUCCGCUCAUAGACACAAGGGGGAAAGCGAUGCUAACGUUGCCUCCUGCCUCGUCUCCGGUGGAAGGAGGGGGUUAUUUUCCUGCUGGUUGGUUUGGGGGUUAUUUAUCGGCUCAGAGCUGUACUCGUGGCCUCACUAAUGUAUUUAAAAUCACACAGAGAUUCAGCUGACACUUGUCUGUGCAUGCCUGCUGUGUGCUGAUUGCUCUAGCCCGGAGAUGCGCUCGCAAUGAGGAGCUCACGUCCUGCUUGGUGCUGGCAAUGAGGAGCUCAUGUCCUGAUGGUGCUGGAAACGAGGAGCUCACGUCUUGCUUCCCGGAGGGGACGGGGCUGGGAGGUGAAAGCCAGCUCUGUUUUUGGCAGCUCGAGGUGCAGAGGGGCUGCUCUCACCUCGCACAAAGCUCCGGCUUGUGGCACCUCCACUUCCCCAACCUCGUGUCCCCUUGCGCAGCCCUGACCCCAUGCGCUCCACUGGAGACUGGGGGAAAGAAGCUGAGGAAGGAAGCCGAGCAGCCAUCCAGAGCCACACAUAGCAGCCAGCAGAACCCUGCUGGGUGACACAAACCAAGCGCCGAAGCCCAAGGACCUCCCUGUCCCUGGAUGGGGAGGUUGGUCCAGGUGAGCACCAUGAGGAGCAAACCCUCAGAGCCUCUCCAUGCGGCACUAUGGGAGCCAGCUUCAGGCUCCUCCUGACCCCCACC